GUGAAGGAUGAGCCCGCGGCCUAUCAGCUUGUUGGUGAGGUAGUGGCUCACCAAGGCGACGACGGGUAGCCGGCCUGAGAGGGCGACCGGCCACACUGGGACUGAGACACGGCCCAGACUCCUACGGGAGGCAGCAGUGGGGAAUAUUGCACAAUGGGCGAAAGCCUGAUGCAGCGACGCCGCGUGAGGGAUGACGGCCUUCGGGUUGUAAACCUCUUUCAGCAGGGAAGAAGCGAAAGUGACGGUACCUGCAGAAGAAGCGCCGGCUAACUACGUGCCAGCAGCCGCGGUAAUACGUAGGGCGCAAGCGUUGUCCGGAAUUAUUGGGCGUAAAGAGCUCGUAGGCGGCUUGUCACGUCGGGUGUGAAAGCCCGGGGCUUAACCCCGGGUCUGCAUUCGAUACGGGCUAGCUAGAGUGUGGUAGGGGAGAUCGGAAUUCCUGGUGUAGCGGUGAAAUGCGCAGAUAUCAGGAGGAACACCGGUGGCGAAGGCGGAUCUCUGGGCCAUUACUGACGCUGAGGAGCGAAAGCGUGGGGAGCGAACAGGAUUAGAUACCCUGGUAGUCCACGCCGUAAACGGUGGGAACUAGGUGUUGGCGACAUUCCACGUCGUCGGUGCCGCAGCUAACGCAUUAAGUUCCCCGCCUGGGGGAGUACGGCCGCAAGGCUAAAACUCAAAGGAA
RNAcentral lists this ribosomal RNA (682 nucleotides) under Streptomyces sp. Its description in RNAcentral is "bacterial SSU rRNA". It matches the Rfam family "Bacterial small subunit ribosomal RNA", at positions 218 to 909 of the family's 1533-position model. The record is from RNAcentral. Lineage: Bacteria; Bacillati; Actinomycetota; Actinomycetes; Kitasatosporales; Streptomycetaceae.